UGUCCAGUAUGCAUACAUUCUGUAAAAGCUCAUGUAUUAAAAUAUUUGUCUGCUUCUGUUUUUAGUACCAGACUAAACUGGAAUUGUCAGGAACUCAUCAACAUAAAGACUGGGAUCAUAUUUUUGCUGCCUAUUUGAACACUUGCUCCAUAAUAUUUGAAUGCAACAGGAAUUACAAAAAAAAAACACAAUUCCUGCAUGCUGUUCUACAGUGCUGUGUGAAUAUUCAUGAAUACUGAAUUGUUUUUCUGGAGGAAAUAUGUAAAAGCAUGAAAGUGAUCAUCAGCUGACCUCUGCUCCAAGCUGAAUUUUGCAGUUUAGGAAACAACGGGGAAAAGAAAUUUAUUUCCAACUAGAAUUUGAUUGCAGAAUGAAUAGAAGGCUACUUCCUUGCACGUCUAGGAAAAACUUAACAUGCAUCAAGAAACAUCUAUUUUCAAAGCCCUAAAUAACCUUUUCAAGACUAAGACUCUGAUGCCAUUUCCCUGACCUGUAUAGAAUCAUGCUGAUCACAACUGGCUACUUGGGUAUUUCCGUUUCAGUGAAAAAAAUUAAGGC
This is a long non-coding RNA of Parus major (Great Tit), 558 nucleotides long. NCBI's taxonomy places the organism in Eukaryota, Metazoa, Chordata, Aves, Passeriformes, Paridae. The record is from Ensembl.